This 1404-nucleotide ribosomal RNA is filed under the name Bacillus cereus. Its description in RNAcentral is "bacterial SSU rRNA". It matches the Rfam family "Bacterial small subunit ribosomal RNA". Lineage: Bacteria; Bacillati; Bacillota; Bacilli; Caryophanales; Bacillaceae. The record is from RNAcentral.
CGGAUUUGGCGGGUGCUAUACAUGCAAGUCGAGCGAAUGGAUUAAGAGCUUGCUCUUAUGAAGUUAGCGGCGGACGGGUGAGUAACACGUGGGUAACCUGCCCAUAAGACUGGGAUAACUCCGGGAAACCGGGGCUAAUACCGGAUAACAUUUUGAACCGCAUGGUUCGAAAUUGAAAGGCGGCUUCGGCUGUCACUUAUGGAUGGACCCGCGUCGCAUUAGCUAGUUGGUGAGGUAACGGCUCACCAAGGCAACGAUGCGUAGCCGACCUGAGAGGGUGAUCGGCCACACUGGGACUGAGACACGGCCCAGACUCCUACGGGAGGCAGCAGUAGGGAAUCUUCCGCAAUGGACGAAAGUCUGACGGAGCAACGCCGCGUGAGUGAUGAAGGCUUUCGGGUCGUAAAACUCUGUUGUUAGGGAAGAACAAGUGCUAGUUGAAUAAGCUGGCACCUUGACGGUACCUAACCAGAAAGCCACGGCUAACUACGUGCCAGCAGCCGCGGUAAUACGUAGGUGGCAAGCGUUAUCCGGAAUUAUUGGGCGUAAAGCGCGCGCAGGUGGUUUCUAAGUCUGAUGUGGAAAGCCCACGGCUCCAACCGUGGAGGGUCAUUGAAAACUGGGAGGACUUGAGUUGCAGAAGAAGGAAGUGGAUUUCAUGUGGUAGCCGUGGAAAUGCGUAGAGAUUAGGAGGACAACCGUGGCGAAGGGGAUUUUUGGUUCGUUAAUGACCAUGAGGCGGGAAAGGCUGGGGAGCAAACAGGGUUAGGUUACCUGGGUAUCCAAGCCGUAAAAGAUGGAUGGUAAAUGUUAGAGGGUUUUCGCCCUUUUGUGGUGAAGGUUAAGGCUUUAGGCAUUCGCCUGGGGAGGUAGGGCGCAAGGGUGAAAAUUAAAGGAAAUGAAGGGGGCCCGCACCAGGGGUGGGGCCAGUGGUUUAAUUUGGAGGAAAGGGGAGAACCUUAACCGGUUUUGAACUUCUUUGACAACCCUAGGGGUUGGGGUUUUCCUUUGGGGGCCGAAUGACCGGUGGGGCCUGGUUGUUGUUCGGUUGGGUUGUGGGAAGGUGGGGUAAGUUCCGGAAAGGGGGCCACCCCUGAUUUUUGGUGCCCUCCAUUAGGUGGGCAAUUUAAGGGGAAUGCCGGGGGCCAACCGGAAGAAGGGGGGGAAGAAGUUAAAUUCUUCUGCCCCUUUUGACCUGGGGUACCCAACUGGUACAAUGGGAGGUACAAAGGGGUGCAAGACCGGGGGGGGGGGGUUAUUUUCUAAAACCGUUUUCCGUUUGGGUUGUUGGGUGCAAAUUGCCUACCAGAAGGCGGGAUUGGUUGUUAUUGGGGGUUCGCCAGGCGCGGGGAAUAAGUUUCCGGGCCUUGUACACACCCCCCGUCACCACCAGGGGGUUUGUAC